Long non-coding RNA from Equus caballus (horse), 1801 nucleotides. The record is from Ensembl. NCBI's taxonomy places the organism in Eukaryota, Metazoa, Chordata, Mammalia, Perissodactyla, Equidae.
UAUGGCAUUUUGUUAUGGGAACCCAAGCUAAGACGCUAUCUUUCACAGUUUGUUCCUGGGUUCUGGUACCAAUUCCAAUGUGUGUGGGGUUGGGGGUCGGGGGAGUCCCCCACACCAACAAGCAAUUCUUGGGACACCAGCUGGGUGUCCUACAAUUCAACUCGAUUCUGACACUAUGUACCCAGAGACAGCAUCACACCCCACAGGUUAAGGGUUCAGCCCCACAAGACUGCCCCCACUGCAGGUGCCAACAGCAAGUCUGGGUUGUCGCCUAUGCUUCUGAGCAACUGGCUGUCAGUAGGAGGUUCCCAAGACUCUCUACUCCGGUUCGACGAAUUUGCUAGGGCGGCUCACAGAACUCAGAGAAACCUCUUACUUACUAGAUUACCUGUUUAUUAGAAAAGGAUAUGACUCGGGAAUAGCUCGAUGGAACAGACGCAUAGGGCAAGACAUGGGGAGAGGGCACUGAGCUUCCACGCCCUCUCCAGGUAACCACUCUCCCAGAACCACCUCUCUCCCAGACCCUCCACAUGGUCACCAACCGCGACGCUCUUGGAAAUCUGUCCUUUUGGGUUUUUAUGCAUAAGCCGUUUAUUUAUUCUUUUACCCUCGGCUGCUGUUUUUCCUUCCCCAUUUAUAGCCCAAAGCCAAUCAAAGAAGGACAUGUGCAGUGUGAUGCUGUUCCUGUACAUUUUUUAAGUGCAUAACAAUGUAAGAAUUUGUUCAUGGAGACAUACACAUGUAUGUCUUGACUAUGCAUAAAAAUGUAAUCUUUUGUUAAUGGAGCCAUGCACAUGGAUAUUCUUGGAAUCAUAAAGAAUGUAAUUAAUUUUAGGAUACUGAUACCUAUGAUGAGAGAGGGAGGAGAACGGGGAUGGAAAUGUGAAUUUUAGGUGUGACGGCAACAUUUUGCUUCUUAAAAACACAGAUAUCAUUGUGGGCUGAAUCAUGUCCCUGAAAAUUCAUAUGUUGAAGUCCUAACUCCAGGACCUCAAAAUAGGGCUGUAUUUGGAGAGAGGGCCUCUAAAGAGGUAAUUAAGGUCAAGUGAGGUCACAUGGUUAGGCUCCAAUCCAAUGUGACUGAUAGUCACGUAAGAAGAGAAGAUUAGAACUCAGACACACACAGAGGGAAGACCGUGUGAGGACACAGGGAGAAGUGGCCGGGGAGAGAGGCCUCAGAAGAGACUAAACCGGCCAACGCCUUGAUCUUGAACUUCGGCCUCCAGAACCGUGAGAAAAUAAAUUUCUAUUGUUUAAGCCACCCUACGUGUGGCAUUUUGUCAUGGCAGCCCCAGCAAAUGAAUGCAACAUCGGAAGCAAAUAGGGCAGAAUUGAACGUCUGUUCUUUCUGGAUAUUGGGGCCGGAGAUAGAGGUCAUACUAUGUACUCUUCUGCAUAUUUGAAAUAUUUCCAUAAUAGUUAAGAAAAUAACAAGCACAUCCCGAAAAAGAAUAACCAGAGAGUAGAAAUUUAUGUGUGAUUACCUUACAGGCCAAGGUGGGUUUCGCGUUGGGCAGGUGGUUCUCUUCCACAGGGUGUGUCAGUCACCCAUGAAUUCCCGUCUCUUGGCUCUGCAAUUCCUGAUGCCUGUAUCAUUGUCUGCAACCAAUCUGCACAAGGAGAAAGAAGGAACACGGAGAAGACACACCUGCUUUCAAAAGUUCCAACCUGGAAAUGGCACACACCACUUCCACUCCCAUUGCAUUGGCUGAAACAUAGUCACACGCCACACCUCACUGCAAGUUGCUGGGGAUCCCACUUCUGUCACCAUGUAAAGUCAGCAAAUAAGAGGCAUAAACUG